RNAcentral lists this long non-coding RNA (443 nucleotides) under Phoenix dactylifera (date palm). RNAcentral's name for it is "long non-coding RNA (PDAC_LNC009676)". Lineage: Eukaryota; Viridiplantae; Streptophyta; Magnoliopsida; Arecales; Arecaceae. The record is from RNAcentral.
CGAGACCGAGUGCCGAGAACCGGAGAAGGUUCCGGCAUUAAAAAGGCAGAGAAGGGGAGAGUCGGACUGUCGGAGAGAAGGGGGGAGCCGGGGAGGAAAAAGCCGUUGCCCACUUGCCCGUUGCUUGUCGAGUGUCGACGACUCGACCGCUCGACCAUCGACCACGCCAUCGCCCGUCGCCCGUCGCCAGUCGCCGCAGUCGGCCUCAGCCUUUCACCGUUUUACGUCGCGUCGCCGCCGCCCAAACCCGCUGCCCACUCCGCCACUCGGCCACUCCCUCCAUAGCUGAUAGCCCAUAGCCAUAAGCAUAGCCAGUCCCCUCCGCGAUAGCCCUGAGCUGGAAUAAAAAAAAAAAAACAAGUGGGUGGUGGCCCGUGGGGGCCUUCCCUGGGCCGGGGGCCUUAGGCGACCGCCUUGGUCGCCUAAGGCUCGAGCCGGCACUG